Molecule: long non-coding RNA, 1097 nt
Filed under: Piliocolobus tephrosceles (Ugandan red Colobus)
Lineage: Eukaryota; Metazoa; Chordata; Mammalia; Primates; Cercopithecidae
Description: lncRNA (ENSPTEG00000005794.1)
Source: RNAcentral
AAAAAAUUAUAUGAAAGCAUUAAAAGAAGGUUUUCGUAUAUAUAUAAUAUAAAUUUAUAUAAAUAUAUAUAUUCAUUUCAUGCUAAAAAUAAUAUAACUUUUUACUGCAAUUUUGUUAAUUCUAUUAAUGAUGAAUUAGAUGGUUUAAAUGUUUAUGUUUUUAGUAAAACCUUAUAUAUAAGAUAUGAUAAUUUAGCUAUACAAAAAUAUAAUUAUAUUUUUGAAAAUGAACUAGAAAAAAUAUUUACCCCUAAAAAUAUAUAUUGUAAAAAGAUUGUAAGUAAAAAGGAAAAAAGGGCACAGAAAGGAAAAGAAUACGUACUUGAACAUAUCAAAGGAAAUGAUUUAGAUGUUAGUUAUUCUACAAACAAUUUUACUUUUUAUAAUAACAUAACUAACAUAUCAUACAACAUUUUCAACAUCAUAAAUAAACAAGAUAUAAUUUUUCUAAAAAGCAUAAUAAACGGUAUUAACGUUUUAAAUAUAAAUGAAAAUGUAGGUGAAUAUACAAUCAUCACAUCUUUAACUAAUAAAAAUAUACCUAACAUCAAGGAAUCAAGUUCUGACAAUCAUGUUACUAUUAUUUUAUCGGAUUCUGUUAAAAAUGCUAGUUAUGUAGAAAAAAAUAUUUCUGUUAACGACUGUAAAAACGUUACAUCGUUAUAUCGGGAAGACAUCCAAGAGGAAUUGAAUAAUAUGUAUUUGAACAAUUUAAGGUUUGGGUUAGUUAUAUUUAAUAUAAAAAGCAAUAUAGUAUAUAGAAAAAACUCUUAUACUAGUAUAUUCGGUAAAAGACAUGUCAUUACAUUCAAAGGCAUUCAUAAAUAUUUAAGCAUUAUUUCAGAGCUUGUAGAAAAAAAUGGUUUUCUGUUCAUAACAGUUGAGUUGUCAGCAGUAGAGUACGAUAAAUUUUUGAAUAUUGUUAAAUGCGUGUUUGAACAGAAAAAGAAAAAUAUAUUUAUUGUCUAUGAGAAUUCGUGUAGUAUCGAAAAUAAGUAAAAUUAUAUUUUAUGUACAUAUGAGUUUAUGUACAUAUGAUUUUAUGUACAUAUGUAUAUGGUAUAUGUGUGUAUGUGUGCUUGCUUGCAUAUACAUAC